This is a long non-coding RNA of Sceloporus undulatus (fence lizard), 2074 nucleotides long. RefSeq lists it as uncharacterized. Lineage: Eukaryota; Metazoa; Chordata; Lepidosauria; Squamata; Phrynosomatidae. The record is from RefSeq and is a predicted model, not a curated record. The transcript has 3 exons.
AGUUCCGGAGGGCUAGAGGGGGAGGGAGAAGCCUGGCUUCCUGUCCCGCCUUCUCCUCCGCCCCUCCCUACGAAGAGGCCUGGAGGAUCUUUCCGUACUGUUUGGGAUCACAGACUUUUUUGCCCCUCUCCCUCCCCCCCGCAAGAGGGCCAAGUGCUCACAACUUGAAUAAGAAAUAAAUAAACAGGACCAAAUAACAACACAGUACUGUAAAGCACCAUGAAGCAAGUUGUAUUGGAGCAACAGGCUAAUUAAAAGCAGGUAAAGAGAAUAUUGGGGGAAAGUUAUUUGCUGUAAGAGCUCUUUGAUAGUAGGAUAGCCUCCUUCAGAGAGUGGUGGGAUUCUCUGUCUUUGGCAGUCUGUAUACAGGAGUUGGAUAACUGUUCUUCAGGAAUGCUUUAGUUGUGUAUUCCUGCAUGGCAGGGAGCUGGACUGGACUGCCCCUGGGGUGCCUUCCAACUAUAAGAUUAUAUGAUUCUAGUUUAAGAAGUAAAAGGAAACAAAGGACAGCAUUCCCUCCUGUAAGGAAAUAACGUAGCACUUUUUAAACUAUCUGAAAGAAAGAAGUUGGUCUCAAGGGUGCUACAAGAUCCCUUUACAUACUGAUUUUACAGACUAACACGGCUAUACCUUUGAAGCAUUCCUUCCCUGUCCAGGUUAAAAGUCCCUUCUUCAAAAACCAGUCAGUUGCCAAAUGUCUUUCUGAAUUUUUUUGGCAAAUUAACAACAAAAGUUGAGUUCCACUGCCUGGGAGGACCCCGUCUCUUAUUAUUGCAAAAAGAGUAUCACCACAAAUGCUCGUGUAUAAGUUGACCUCAUGUAUAAGUCGAGGGCAGGUUUUAGAGUUUAGAUUUUGAUAUGACCUAUGGAUAAGUCGAGGGUCAAACCCUGGGGCUUGUAACAAAGGAUCUAAACAGAGGAGGGAAACACCACUUCACUCCCUCCUUCUCCCUCUCUGGACCUCUCCCAAGGGCCACAGUCUGGGCAUGCAAAAUGUGGACACAAACCUCCAAUUUCCCUCCCUUCCCCACAACUUUCCCCAAGUCUGAUGGCUUGCAAAAAAGGGGACAUAGACCUCCGAUUUCCAUUCCUUCCCCACAACUUUUCCCAAAGCAGAUGGCUUCCAAAAUGGGGAACACAGACCUCUGAUUUCUCUCCUCUCUCUCCUUCCUCCGUUCUCCACAGCUUUCCCAAGGCUCACAGAGAAGUACUGUAUUACUGUAUUAACCCAUAUACACGUCUACCUAGGAUUUUGGAGGCCAUAUUUGGGCUUAAUUUUUUCAACUUAUUAACGAGUAUAUUCGGUAUUAUUAUUGCUAGAGUUCAAAGAUAGAGCCAUGUUAGUCUGUAGAAUCGGUACAUAGAGAGUGCUACCCUGUAGCACCUUUGAGAUUAACUGAAAUAAAGAAGUUGGCAGCAUGAACUUUCAUAGACUUCAGUCUACUUCCUCAGAUGCAUAUUAUUGUUGUUAGCAUUAUUAUAUAGUAAAAGAGUGAUACUGUAAUACUAUGCAUUUUUUGCUUGUUUAGCGACUCCUUCUUGAGUCAUAAGCCCUACCCUCUGAGCAAAACAGGAGUAGCUUUUGCAGGCAUGUAAACUCCCAGGCUGGACAAUGGAAGGUAUCAGGAUCAGGGAAACAUCUAGGAGGAAGCCUGAGACACCUUUUUCCAAUGUCAGACUUGAAUUCUCACCUUCAGUGCCUAAGCCCCAGCCAUGAAUAUGUUGCAGGUUUUGGACAGUCAAAUAAGUUUAGGAGGAGAUACAGCUCCAAGGAUCUUGAGAAAAGUGGUUCAUUAUCUUUACUUGUCCUGUUUCUUCCCUGUUGCUAAUCCCUCUUCCUCCCUUUUCUUGCCUGAGCUCCUCAUUCCUGUUUCAGUUCAUCAGAGUUGACUGUGGAUUCCUUCCCUGAAUCAGAUAAGACUAGUUUGGGACGAGUGUGCGAGAGAGCGAUGGAGGCGCCACCGCACUGGGGUAUAGAGUCCUUUGAGGAGAUGGCUGUGCAUUCACUGCCUUCCAUGAGCCGGACUUGGUGCUAUUCGAUCCAGGGCAGAGGGCUCGCAGGCCGAGAUUACAG